AACGAACGCUGGCGGCGCGCCUAAUACAUGCAAGUCGAACGAGAAGGUGUAGCAAUACACUUGUACAGUGGCGAACGGGUGAGGAAUGCAUGGGCAACCUACCCUCGAGUGGGGAACAACCAGCCGAAAGGUUGGCUAACACCGCGUACGCUUCCGGGUCUCCGGAUCCGGAAGGAAAGUCACACCGUGGGUGUGACGCUCAAGGAUGGGCUCAUGUCCUAUCAGCUUGNGGUGAGGUAACGGCUCACCAAGGCAACGACGGGUAGCUGGUCUGAGAGGACGAUCAGCCACACUGGCACUGCGACACGGGCCAGACUCCUACGGGAGGCAGCAGUAAGGAAUAUUGCGCAAUGGGCGAAAGCCUGACGCAGCGACGCCGC
Molecule: ribosomal RNA, 380 nt
Filed under: uncultured bacterium
Lineage: Bacteria
Description: bacterial SSU rRNA
Rfam family: Bacterial small subunit ribosomal RNA
Source: RNAcentral